GGUGUGGAUAGGGGAGAAAUUCCAAUCGAACCCGGAGAUAGCUGGUUCUCCUCGAAAUAGCUUUAGGGCUAGCCUCGUAUUAGUCUGGUGGAGGUAGAGCACUGAAUUUCCUAGGGGGCGUCAAAGCCUACCGAAGAAUAUCAAACUCCGAAUGCCAUACAGAUGAUGUACGGGAGUCAGACGGCACGAGAUAAGUUGGGUCGUCAAAAGGGAAAGAGCCCAGACCUGCAGCUAAGGUCCCAAAGUGUGUGUUAAGUGGAAAAGGAUGUGGGAUUUCAAAGACAACUAGGAUGUUGGCUCAGAAGCAGCCACACAUUCAAAGAGUGCGUAAUAGCUCACUAGUCGAGAGGUCCUGCGCCGAAAAUGUCCGGGGCUGAAACACAACACCGAAGCUCAGGAAUGUAUUUAUACAUUGGUAGAGGAGCAUUCUUAAAGGGGCGAAGCAGUACCGAUAAGGAGCUGUGGACUUUUAAGAAGAGAGAAUGCCGGAAUGAGUAGCGAGAUGGAGGUGGGAAUCCUCCAGGCCGAAUAUCUAAGGUUUCCAGGGUAAAGCUGAUCUGCCCUGGGUAAGUCGGGGCCUAAGGCAAGGCUGAGAAGCGUAGCUGAUGGACAACAGGUUUAGAUUCCUGUACCACAUGAUAUCAGAACUGUGGGGACGCAGAGGGAUAAGAUGACCGGGGAACAGAACCCCGGGCAAGCGUAGGAGGUGUCAGGCAGGCAAAUCCGCCUGAUAAGCCAAAGACGUGACGCGGACCGAACCAAAGUAGGGAAGCAUCCGAUUCCAGCUGCCGAGAAAAGCCGCUAUUGUGUAUCAUGUGCCCGUACCGUAAACCGACACAGGUGGAUGAGGAGAGAAUCCUAAGGCCGGCGGGAGAAGCAUUGUUAAGGAACUCGGCAAAAUGACCCCGUAACUUCGGGAUAAGGGGUGCCAGAGAGAUCUGGCCGCAGAGAAUAGGCUCAAGCAACUGUUUAGCAAAAACACAGGUCUAUGCGAAACCGUAAGGUGAUGUAUAUGGGCUGACGCCUGCCCGGUGCUGGAAGGUUAAGAGGAGAGGUUAGAGCAAUCGAAGCUUUGAAUUGAAGCCCCAGUAAACGGCGGCCGUAACUAUAACGGUCCUAAGGUAGCGAAAUUCCUUGUCGGGUAAGUUC
Molecule: ribosomal RNA, 1149 nt
Filed under: human gut metagenome
Description: bacterial LSU rRNA
Rfam family: Bacterial large subunit ribosomal RNA
Source: RNAcentral